UACGUAGGGUGCAAGCGUUAUCCGGAAUUAUUGGGCGUAAAGAGCUCGUAGGCGGUUUGUCGCGUCUGCUGUGAAAACUGGAGGCUCAACCUCCAGCCUGCAGUGGGUACGGGCAGACUAGAGUGCGGUAGGGAGAUUGGAAUUCCUGGUGUAGCGGUGGAAUGCGCAGAUAUCAGGAGGAACACCGAUGGCGAAGGCAGGUCUCUGGGCAUUAACUGACGCUGAGGAGCGAAAGCAUGGGGAGCGAACAGG
RNAcentral lists this ribosomal RNA (252 nucleotides) under uncultured bacterium. RNAcentral's name for it is "partial 16S ribosomal RNA". It matches the Rfam family "Bacterial small subunit ribosomal RNA", at positions 524 to 776 of the family's 1533-position model. The record is from RNAcentral.